GAGGAAUAUUGGUCAAUGGACGCAAGUCUGAACCAGCCAUGCCGCGUGCAGGAUGACGGCUCUAUGAGUUGUAAACUGCUUUUGUACGAGGGUAAACGCAGAUACGUGUAUCUGUCUGAAAGUAUCGUACGAAUAAGGAUCGGCUAACUCCGUGCCAGCAGCCGCGGUAAUACGGAGGAUUCAAGCGUUAUCCGGAUUUAUUGGGUUUAAAGGGUGCGUAGGCGGUUUGAUAAGUUAGAGGUGAAAUUUCGGGGCUCAACCCUGAACGUGCCUCUAAUACUGUUGAGCUAGAGAGUAGUUGCGGUAGGCGGAAUGUAUGGUGUAGCGGUGAAAUGCUUAGAGAUCAUACAGAACACCGAUUGCGAAGGCAGCUUACCAAACUAUAUCUGACGUUGAGGCACGAAAGCGUGGGGAGCAAAC
Molecule: ribosomal RNA, 420 nt
Filed under: uncultured bacterium
Lineage: Bacteria
Description: bacterial SSU rRNA
Rfam family: Bacterial small subunit ribosomal RNA
Source: RNAcentral